CAUUAAGUAGCUUAAAAAUAAAGCAACGGUCUCUUAAACCGUAAUAUAGUAAAUAAUAAUUACUCUUAAUGA
RNAcentral lists this transfer RNA (72 nucleotides) under Nabis apicalis. RNAcentral describes it as "tRNA-Lys". It matches the Rfam family "tRNA". Rfam says of the family: Transfer RNA (tRNA) molecules are approximately 80 nucleotides in length. Their secondary structure includes four short double-helical elements and three loops (D, anti-codon, and T loops). Further hydrogen bonds mediate the characteristic L-shaped molecular structure. tRNAs have two regions of fundamental functional importance: the anti-codon, which is responsible for specific mRNA codon recognition, and the 3' end, to which the tRNAs corresponding amino acid is attached (by aminoacyl-tRNA synthetases). tRNAs cope with the degeneracy of the genetic code in two manners: having more than one tRNA (with a specific anti-codon) for a particular amino acid; and 'wobble' base-pairing, i.e. permitting non-standard base-pairing at the 3rd anti-codon position. Lineage: Eukaryota; Metazoa; Arthropoda; Insecta; Hemiptera; Nabidae. The record is from RNAcentral.